GAUGAACGCUGGCGGCGUGCCUAAUACAUGCAAGUCGAGCGAACGGACGAGAAGCUUGCUUCUCUGAUGUUAGCGGCGGACGGGUGAGUAACACGUGGAUAACCUACCUAUAAGACUGGGAUAACUUCGGGAAACCGGAGCUACUACCGGAUAAUAUUUUGAACCGCAUGGUUCAAAAGUGAAAGACGGUCUUGCUGUCACUUAUAGAUGGAUCCGCGCUGCAUUAGCUAGUUGGUAAGGUAACGGCUUACCAAGGCGACGAUGCAUAGCCGACCUGAGAGGGUGAUCGGCCACACUGGAACUGAGACACGGUCCAGACUCCUACGGGAGGCAGCAGUAGGGAAUCUUCCGCAAUGGGCGAAAGCCUGACGGAGCAACGCCGCGUGAGUGAUGAAGGUCUUCGGAUCGUAAAACUCUGUUAUUAGGGAAGAACAUAUGUGUAAGUAACUGUGCACAUCUUGACGGUACCUAAUCAGAAAGCCACGGCUAACUACGUG
RNAcentral lists this ribosomal RNA (497 nucleotides) under uncultured bacterium. Its description in RNAcentral is "partial 16S ribosomal RNA". It matches the Rfam family "Bacterial small subunit ribosomal RNA", at positions 28 to 507 of the family's 1533-position model. The record is from RNAcentral.